CAUCGCUGGGUUGUGGCGGGGCAGGAGAGAUGAGUGGGGGAGACUGGGAGAGUGAUGAGCCUUGUCUGUAAUUGAGACAGACUCCACCAAGAUUUGGGUCCAGAGUUUGUCUUCACAAUAAAACGGUAUCCUCAUGUAUGUGCAUCAGGAGGA
Molecule: long non-coding RNA, 153 nt
Organism: Zea mays
Lineage: Eukaryota; Viridiplantae; Streptophyta; Magnoliopsida; Poales; Poaceae
Exons: 3
Source: RefSeq, a predicted model, not a curated record